CCCCUCACGUGUCCGGACAGUCCUUCUCACGCCCCUAAAAUCCCCGGUGCUUAUACUCAGGGGAGAGGUUUCCACUACUCUGUGUCUGGGUGUCUGUCGUCUGCAGAGCUUGGGGUUGAUCUCACAGAGCUGCCUUUCCUGGCUGUGGGAGAAGUCAGUGCUGCCAAAGCUCACGUUAUGCUAUUGUUAUCAACCUAGACUCCCAAUUAAAUUUUAGCUCAACAAGGCACGGGACAAAGAAAAAUCCCCCGGCUAAAGAUCCACGAUGUUUGAAACUGCUCUGGAGAUGAGGCAGAGAGUCACUACCUGAAAAUCGUUGUUCAUUUGUCUAGUUUACGGGGAAAAAAUAACGAAUUGAAGACUGUCACAUGAAAGACUUUUUUGGGCUCCUGCUUCAUGCCAGGCACUACGAAUGGGGAGUGAGGCUGAGAAGACCUCAGUUCUUGUGGAGAUGAGAUUCUGGUGGGGCAGAAAGACCCCAGAACCCAACACUGAGCAGUUUCAGAAUGAAGACAGAUGAAGGAGAGAACACAGGACAACGUUAUUUAUUCACUGGGAAGCAAAGUCCAACGUCCGCCAUAAAACUCUGCAGCUGAAAAACGGCAAGCGGAGCAGCUCUCAGAUAAAGACAGCCUCCACCGUCUUGCACAGCGCAGCCCCUCUCGUGCCCAAGUCCUGUGCCUGCAUGAAAGCACUAAAUCACAGACCCCGCAACCUGCUGUACCCGCUGGUGACAGUCAGCAGCUGGGCUCCGGCAAGCUCCCUUAGCCGGUGCUGGCUCAGAGAGCAGACUUCCCUCAGCAGCUCCAAGGAGCGCUGCAGCUCCCAGGCUAGGGAGCAAGCCAACGAUUCGAGACCCUAAUCAAGGCUUCCUUUUACCUUAAAGAAACUUCCUCGCUUGUCCAGACUGCGGGCGCCCAUGGUCCAAGCUGACAUUUCCCCCAGUGAGGCUCCACUGCACGCCGGGGACUCCUGAAGGUAGAGACAUUUUUAAUGGUUAGUCCAGCCUGUAGGAAAUUCCUUUCUAAGCCACAGAACACUCACAACAACGGUCCUGCCAAGAUCUUUUUCCAUCAACAACACAGUGCCAUUUAUUUCCCACCAAGCCCUUACAUCUCCCUUCAGCCCAGUUUCCUGCCCCCACCAGUGCAGUUCCUAGACUGCCCCACCUCGCCAGCCCACCUCCCAACUCUGCUGCGGACAGAGAAGGUCCUUGGGACUUCAGGAAGCAUAAUGAUCAUUUUAUGUGUUUGAUCUCACGCUGAAAUGUGAGCGGAACCAAUAUGAGAUGUCCCCAUCAUCUGCUCUGAAAGCUUAUGAUUGAAUGUGGCUAAUCACAGAAAGACAGCUGAAGAAGGAGGUUCUGUAUGUCCCAGGAAACCAUGCUGGAAGGGGGUGAGGUCAUCCUUAGCUCUGCUGGCCUCUCCCCCAGGCAAGGUCAACAGAAGGGCACUGGGAAGAAAUCGCUCUAUUUUUUUCUUUAGAAAUCAGAAAUAUUUGGAUAAAAUCCUGUCACUGUUUACAGGGAUAAGUUCACAGAGGAGGACAACGUGUAAACAGCUUCAUGAUCAUCUAAAAAAGGAGUUGAGCGUAGAGGAAACUGAGAGGCAGGAUAACAACACAGUUCUGAAUUCUAACUGUGGCUUUUGGAGCUUGGAAUUUCCCCUGCUCAGGGCAUCAGAUCCCAAUAAUUCUUCCCUUCGGGACACAAAGCCUUCAACAUUCAGUUCUAAGUUAAACACAGACACACCUCUGCCAGCUGACUCGUCCCAGGCCUUCAUGCAUUGAGGGGAGCCUGAGAGAGCACCCCAAACCCUUCCUUACCCAAUGACUGUCCUGGGGGCAAGUAUAAAACCACCCUGUCUUUCCUCAUUCAUCCCUUCUCACCAUAACAUGCACAGGAUGUAGCUCAUGCCAACCGUGACCGACACAGAGGAAGGUCAGUGAAGGAAAGAGUGAGACUGUCUCUUGCACCACCAAGAAAUAUUCAAAGUGGUUCAGCUGCAGGGCUGGGGAGGCACCGAAGCUAAGGCAGCUGCUGCUGCAGGUUCACUCAGGCUGUUUCAUUAUCACUGAGUGGCGGAGAGCCAGCAACACAAACAGGACAUUGAGGGCGACGUUUAGGGAUGUUUCAUCAAGUGGAAAAGCAUGAAUCCAUAGCUGAGAAGUGCAUACAAGUGAGUGAGCAAGGAUCUUUGCAGAGAGAUUUUUUUCGGAUCCACGAUUUGCCCCCCUGCUUGCAUUCACAGUGAGUUGUGAUGACCUGCGCACGGAAUCCAAUCUAGAAAAAAAUAAUGAUACAUCGCAUCCCUCCCCUCCUUCCAGAAACGUCUCUUUGUGUCAUUGCUCCGCAGUGUGGCCACUUUAAAGGUUUGAUGGUGUCUUCCCUGUGUUUCUUUCCACUUGUGAUCCUGCUGGGAUGAAGGCCAAUGUCCCAGAAACCUCCUGAGAAGGGAGUGUGUGAUUCUGCUGACACCAGAAGUUCAGGUUCUGGGGUUCAUCACUCAUUAGCAAAGUCCACAGGUUGGAACAACUCCAGAAAGAAAUCACAGUGCUCAGAACUAGGAGCGGAAUGGGAGCCACACUUUCACCUUGGGGAGCAAACCACGGCCCUUUUAGACCCAGAAGCACACAAAUAAAAAAGCAUACCCUGCUUUAAACCAUGCCUAAUGUCUGGAAUUCUUUUUAUUUCAGAUGUUUUUUCAGCAGUGGAUUUGAUGUCGCUUGGCAGUUCAGGAAUUGCUAAACGAGAGCCAAGACUUCAUUCCUCAUCCAGACCUAAGUUUCUUUGUUCUGUUCUGAAGUUUUCCAUAUACAAACUUUUUCUGAUGAGCCAGGGCAGGCAGGGAAUUUUGCCUACAGCACUGGAGCAGUUUGGGUUCCAGAAGUGUACUAAUUGAUUCCUUUAAUUAGCUGCCUGAAAACUGCAUGUGCACACUUUAACUCCAGCAGUCCUCAAAUCACCAUCGAAUUUGGAUUCUGCUCAGGGCAGGAAGAUCCAUCAUAUUUAAAAGAUGCCGGAGGCAUCUCUCCUUCAUGAGCUGCUCUGAGAGAGAUGGGAGCAGGUGACAAGAACACACCACCAGGUGCAGCAGCAGCCGCUGAAUGAGGCGAGGCAGCUCGGACUUCAGUCUCAGUAAACAAGACCUCGUUAUUGUAAUUAUUUUACAGCUAAAUUGACUGAAAUAGGAAAAAGUGACUCACCCUAGGGGACCUGUGAGGUCAAGUCCGAAUAUGAGAAACGCAUCUCACUUCUUUGCCUGGUUCCUUAACCAGCUCCCAGGGAGACGGGCCAUCUCUCCUUCCCAUGCUUUUCGCUUUUUGUAAGAGCGGUAGAAGGAAGUGGAGGUGGCUCUGUGUCUGGGUGCGGGGAAAGUCUCUGAAUAUUUCCGUAAUUAUCUUUGUAUUACCCAAUAUUUCACACGUUGGACAGAAAAAUGUUAUUCCAAGGUCAGACUUGACAAUUUGAACUGUGUGAAUUAAAAGAACUUUUUAAAGUGUCCUGGAUCACUGUUCGAUAUGGGUUUCCCCUCAUUCAACAAUUGUUUUUUUAAAAAAAAUUUAAGUUUUAAGGUCAUGAAAACUUUUCAUUGAAAAGAGAAGCUAAUUUGUGGGAAAGAAAAAAGUCAUAUGCAAAGAACUGUAUUCCCAGCCCCCUUACUUAACAACAAGUGUUUUAAUAUUAGUUUUAAUUAUUGUUUCGGAGGCAGGUCUCAUACUGCUGCCCAGGCUGGAGUGCACUGCCUCAGUCAUGGCUCACUGCACCUCGACCUCCUGGGCUCAAGUGGUUCUCCACCUCAGCCUCCAGAAUAGCUGAGACUACCAAUGUGUGCCACCACGUUCAAAGAAUCUAUUUAUUUUAGUUUGUGGAGACCAGGUCUCCCUCCGUGUGUCGUGCCCAGGCUGGUCUCAAACUCCUGGCCUCAAGCCAUCCUCCCACCUUGGCUUCCCAAAGUGCUGGGAUUACAGGCAUAAACCACCAGGCCCAGUCUUAAUCCCAUUUAAAAACUGUGGUUGGUCAGAAACUCUAAAAAGCUGUCUUUAUGGGGGGCGAUUUGCAUCUGUAGAGAAAAAUCUACAUUAAUGCAGCCAGGCUUCCUCUGAGGUCCUCUCUUGUCCAAUGUAGGAAAGAUGAACUGAGAAGCUGGCACUUUCAAAGGUCUGAAAGAACCAUUUCCCACCUAUUCUCUCUGAGAGCUGCUACGUGGGAGGUUACCUCUGCCUGGUGAGACCAUCUUUGCUAAUCAGGCCUCCUCUUCUCCCCCUCCCAUCACCUGUUUUGCCACCAUCCAAACCCCCAUUCUUUCUGUAACCUCAAGAUGGCAUACAAGCUUCUGAGCCCCAUGGCAGGGUGGGGGUGAGCACUCUGUGGUGCUCCUCUGGGCGUGUUAAUAAAGGUAUGUGCCGUUUCUCCUCUUAACCUGCCUUUUGUCAGUCGGUCUUUCAUCCAACCUUCAGAGAGUGAAGGAGAAGUUUCUCCUUGGCUCCUACCAAGCCGUAUGACAGCUCAAUUUAUGGGGAACAGAUAGCUUGAGUGAAUAGAUAUGAGAGGACAUUGGGCCACAGGGUGGGUGUUGCAGGAGUAGGGGAAGAACGUGCAAUGAAGAGUCUUGAGCAGUUUGGGUAGAUUUAUAUUCCAUUCCUUCAAAUACGUUUUGACCAGGAUAGCAUUCGAAGAAUGAAGGAGACCAUGAGUUCUCAGAGGCAGGUAGAACUUUGAGAUACUUCCUAUCAUCCAGUCAGAUUUUUUGGGGGGGAGGGUGGAGUUCUGCUGUUGUUGCCCAGGCUGGAGUGUAAUGGCACGAUCUCGCCUCAGCGCAACCUCCACCUCCUGGGUUCAAGUGAUUCUCCUGCCUCAGCCUCCUGAAUAGCUGGGAUUACAGGCAUGCACCAUCACACCUGGCUAAUUUUGUACUUUCAGUAGAGAUGGGGUUUCGCCAUGUUGGUCAGGCUGGUCUGGAACUCCUGACCUUGUCAUCCGCCUGCUUAACUCUCCCAGAGUGUUGGAAUUACAGGUGUGAGCCACCGCGCCCGGCUCCAAUCAGGUGUUUAUUCAAAAAUCUUAGAAUCGACUAAAGCCAACACUGAUAAAGAAAAAGCUCAGCAAACCAGAACAACAGUCCUUGCAGCUGUCACUUUUGAUGGGAUUUCUUAGAUGAAUACAGUACAGGGAGACCUGUGGACCACCUGAGGGAAGAGGCUUCAAUGUAGGGAUGAGGAGGAUGGACAAAAGCCACAUUUUGAUCUCUUCUGUCACCCUGUCAAGGAAGUGAGUUGGAGAACAGAUGGGCCUCCUCUGAAGAAUGUCUUCCUUGUAAGCCCACAGAUUCCGUGUGGACAGUCAGCGGAAGCACGCUAACAUCAAAAUAACAACCCACCGCGACAGCUUCUAUACAUAGCAAAUGCUCUAAUAACCUGUCUUAAUACUUAACAUCAUAGCAUAACCAGAAAUUAGCAAGGGAAAUGCAUACAGAAAGAAACAGUUCUCCAAAAUAACUUAGUAUUUUGUGCUAUGAAAGAGUCAUGAAAAUCCACAUAAUGCUCUCAGAGAUAUGGGUUGCUAUCACCAAAAAGGUGGUCUUGGUGGCAGCAAUUGUGCCUCAGAAGUUCAGGCAUGUUUAAAAGUCAGUCUUGGCUGACCAAUGGCAUUCAUGUUUUUUGUUAGGCAUGAUAAGGACAUAGGAUAUUUCACAAAUCCAGUUUCCUAUUAAUCAGUUUUGCACUAUUUGCAACCACCAAAUAAUUUCUGCUAAGCUCUGCAGGUUCUCUGAAGCUUAGAGUUUCCCUCUCAAUGGUCUACCUCACCCCAUCCUCUUGUUCAGAUGUCUGACUCCUUCCUAUGGCCAUGGAGCCAGACAGGGCAAGUGUGGUUAGCAUCCAGCCCAAGGUACAGGGGAGAAAGCAGGAUUAUCUCUUAUUCAUUGAGACUAUUUGAGGGUGGAUACAAACUCAUGUCUGAGAGACACUGGUUUGGAUCAUAAUGAUAGCCAAACAGUCAUAUUAUGGUAAACAGAGCAAAGCAAGGAGGUCAUGUGGACCCAUGGAUGGAUGGCCUCGGUGGAUGGAGAACAGAGCAGAGCACGGAGGUCAUGUAGACCCAUGGAUGGAUGGCCUCAGUGGAUGGAAAACAGAGUGAAGCAUGGAGGUCACCUGGACCCACGGAUAGAUGAAUGGAUGGAUGGCCUCAGGAGACAGUGGAGAUGGCAUCAUUUCCCGUGUCUGGCUUUUCAUGCCACCCAUGGGGAUGCUGGUUGGACACUGAUCUUUUCAGGGACUGAGGCAAGAGGACAGGUGGAAGUUCACUUAUACUUUAUGUCUGAAUAUUAAAAAAUUAUAAAUCAAGACAACAAACUGUUAACUAAAAUACGUCUAUUCUCCUACCAUGACAAAUGUGCCUUUACAAGGACUUGGGAAACCUGGUUUCAAUGUAAAACUCUCAGACUCCUCAGUGUUUUGUCCUGAACAUGGGGGCAUGUGGUGACCCUGUACCUGUCUCAUGAUUUGCUACCCCUCUUCUCCCUCCAAUAGCUCUGUGGAUACCCCAUUUUUCAUGUCCAAGUGCUCUGCCUCCUUGGACUUUCCAGCCUACGGAUGCUAUUCCAGGAACAGAGUCAGCCCAUGGGCCCAGGCGCAUGGGAGACAGCCUGCCAGGCAGUGGAAAUAGGCUUGGGCCAUGAGGGCAGAGAUUCCAGAGCUCUGGGCAUCUGGUGCACAGGCAAGGCAGGGAGGGGAUGUGGGCCCAAGACCGGCACAACCUGUUUGCUCUCCUUCCGUGGGGAGGGGUGAGGUUAGCAUAGGACAAAGUGCACAUCUCAGGGGUUAGGGCACAUCUGGGUGGCAGGUAGAUUCAUCUUGGGGCUCACAACAGAAUGGACACAGCUUCUGCUACUAUU
Callithrix jacchus (white-tufted-ear marmoset) is the source of this 6893-nucleotide long non-coding RNA. RefSeq lists it as uncharacterized. The record is from RefSeq and is a predicted model, not a curated record. NCBI's taxonomy places the organism in Eukaryota, Metazoa, Chordata, Mammalia, Primates, Cebidae.